RNAcentral lists this ribosomal RNA (430 nucleotides) under uncultured rumen bacterium. RNAcentral's name for it is "bacterial SSU rRNA". It matches the Rfam family "Bacterial small subunit ribosomal RNA", at positions 354 to 776 of the family's 1533-position model. The record is from RNAcentral.
GUGGGGAAUCUUCCGCAAUGGGCGAAAGCCUGACGGAGCAACGCCGCGUGAGUGAAGAAGGUCUUCGGAUCGUAAAGCUCUGUUGUCGGGGACGAAUGUUGAGGCCUAGAACAUAGGUUUCAAAUGACGGUACCUGACGAGGAAGCCACGGCUAACUACGUGCCAGCAGCCGCGGUAAUACGUAGGUGGCGAGCGUUGUCCGGAAUUAUUGGGCGUAAAGGGAGCGCAGGCGGGAAGGUAAGUCUAUCUUAAAAGUGCGGGGCUCAACCCCGUGAGGGGAUAGAAACUAUUUUUCUUGAGUGCAGGAGAGGAAAGCGGAAUUCCUAGUGUAGCGGUGAAAUGCGUAGAUAUUAGGAGGAACACCAGUGGCGAAGGCGGCUUUCUGGACUGUAACUGACGCUGAGGCUCGAAAGCCAGGGGAGCGAACGGG